Molecule: ribosomal RNA, 695 nt
Filed under: Phlebia tremellosa
Lineage: Eukaryota; Fungi; Basidiomycota; Agaricomycetes; Polyporales; Meruliaceae
Description: eukaryotic LSU rRNA
Rfam family: 5.8S ribosomal RNA (bases 264-417)
Source: RNAcentral
UNGGAAGGUGACCUGCGGNAGGAUCAUUAUCGAGUUUUUGAAACGGGUUGUCGCUUGGUCCCAUUCUUAACAGAGUCGGGACAUGUGCACACCUGGCUUCAUUCCACUCUUCAACCCCUGUGCACUUGUUGUAGGUUUCAGGUCGGACGCGGGGCUUUCGACUUCAUCGUCGAGAGCUUUCAAGGAAAGCCUGAGCCUAUGUUUUACUACACACACGCUUCAGUUAUAGAAUGUAAACAUCGCGUAUAACGCAUUUUAAAUACAACUUUCAGCAACGGAUCUCUUGGCUCUCGCAUCGAUGAAGAACGCAGCGAAAUGCGAUAAGUAAUGUGAAUUGCAGAAUUCAGUGAAUCAUCGAAUCUUUGAACGCACCUUGCGCUCCUUGGUAUUCCGAGGAGCAUGCCUGUUUGAGUGUCAUGGAAUUCUCAACCUUUGAAAGCUUUUAUCGGUUCUCAAAGGCUUGGACUUGGAGGUCGUGUCGGCUCUGCAAAGAAUCGACUCCUCUGAAACGUAUCAGUGCGAACCUUUACGGAUCGUCUUCGGUGUGAUAAACGUCUACGCCGUGGUCGUGAAGUAUGAUCGUGUCCGUGCUUCUAACCGUCUCCUUUGCGAGACAAAAACUGUGUUACUUACUAUAAGUAACGUAGGCAUUGACAAUCUGACCUCAAAUCAGGUAGGACUACCCGCUGAACUUA